Non-coding RNA from Nematostella vectensis (starlet sea anemone), 3250 nucleotides. NCBI's taxonomy places the organism in Eukaryota, Metazoa, Cnidaria, Anthozoa, Actiniaria, Edwardsiidae. The record is from Rfam.
UAAAAUGAUUAUAAGCGAAAACCCUACAACAGAAUUGUACCCACUUGAUAUAAGUAUUAAACAAGCGACAUAGCGCGGAUAUGCCAGUUAUUUUUAUCCCCGCCGCCGGUAUAAAGUAUAACUUAGAACUGGCAGUGACUAGGGGAAUCCGACUGUUUAAUUAAAACAAAGCAUUGCGAUGGCCGGAAACGGUGUUGACGCAAUGUGAUUUCUGCCCAGUGCUCUGAAUGUCAAAGUGAAGAAAUUCGACCAAGCGCGGGUAAACGGCGGGAGUAACUAUGACUCUCUUAAAAAUGCAAAAGAGCUGGGCACCCAUAUUUGAGAAGAAGCCGGUUGAAGAUGUUCGGGUGGUGGAGGUUGUUAACCCCAUAGCAUGGGAUACCCUUGCACCAGUUUCCGUAGCGGAGUUAGAAGGGAUAAUUAAGAAGGGCACAAAAUCGGCUGCCGGUUUAGACGGUUUAUCAUUUGGUGACGUGUGGAAGCUGGGUUUUUGGGAAACUUAGAAGCCAGUUCAAUCUCUGGCUGUUGUCCGGUACACAACCGGAGCAGCUCUGCUCAGGCCGAACAAUCUUUCUGCGAUUAUCUAUUCGGCAAAACGUGACCUAAAGCCGCUCAACCUGGUGUUUGUGGAUGUCAGCAAAGCAUUUGACUCCGUCAGCCAUAAGACCAUUCUCCUAGCCCUGAAGCGACUUGGAAUACCGCCGCCGUUACUGUCGUACGUGUUUGACCUGUAUAGUAGAUCGACUACGAUCUUACAGCACGGUGGACGUGGGAGCCAGCCGCUAAGCGUUAGGCAGGGGGUGAAACAAGGUGACCCCUGUCUCCGUUCAUCUUCAACGCGGUAAUUGACUGGGCCCUAUCAGAACUAGAUCCGCUGAUUGGAGUUAAAUUUGGAGGAAUUAUGGUGAAUGCACUGGCCUACGCAGACGAUGUGGUGCUAUUAGCCGAAACAAGGGCUGGGUUGUCUAAAAUCGUGUCAGCCUUUGAAAGAAACCUAGCACUGGGUAGUCUAACAAUUAGCUCUGGACCGAAGGGUAAAUCCGCGACACUAUCUAUCGCCGUGGAUGGGAACGCAAAGAAGUGAAUGGUUGUUGACGAGCCCUUUCUUACUGUUGCAGGCAAGGUAGUCCCUUCUAUUGGGCCCACUAGUGACUACAGGUACCUCGGGAUCCUGAAUCUGCCGGAGGUGCUAGGGUGCGGACAGACUGUAGAGAGAUUCUCACGGAGGGGUUCAAAAACAUCACUAGAGCACCCCUGAAACCACACCAACGGCUUAUUUUACUUAAAACCUACUUUUUACCGCGCUUUAUGCACCAGCUGGUACUCGCCCCAGUUAAUGAUGGUUUCCUUCGGUGGUUUGACAACUGUGUGCGAGCGGCCUGUCGCUCUUGGCUGAAAUUGCCACACGACACGUGCAUGGCUUUCUUUCACGCUGCUAUAUUGGACGGCGGUAUGGGUAUACCGUCCCUACGUUAUCUGGUGCCACUUCUUAAACGAGACCGAUUCCUCAAAAUCCCCCCCCCCCCUAGAAUGGGAGGUGCGGAGUUUGUCGGGGCCAUCCGUGCACGCGGGGGACUUCUUUUCUCUAAGACCCGGGCGGCGAGGGGGCGGCAGGUGGCUAAUGUUAACUGUGAAUCCUGCCUUCGCCCCCAAUCCGCACAGCACAUGGUUCAAAUUUGUCCCAAGUCGCAUGGUGCCAGAAUUCGCCGUCACGACGGCAUUGUCGAAUUUCUAGCUAAGGCUGCAACUCGAAAGGGUCUCACGGUUCAAUGUGAACCCUUGAUCUCAGACCCUAUGUACGGUCUGCGAAAACCCGACCUCGUUGCUGCUGGGGAACAACAGGCCUUUGUUAUUGAUGUUACUGUCUGCUCUGAAAACAUAGAUCCAGAUGCGGCACAUCGGCAGAAGUGCUUAUACUAUAACACGGAGGGUGUCGUGGAGUGGGUUAAGAAGAAGACUGGUUGUAGGGAAGUCGUCUUUGGUGCUUGUGCAGUCUCAUGGCGGGGUGUGUUCAGUGGUUUGAGUGCAGACUUUCUGGUCAAGAAGUUGAGGUUGCCUAAAGGGGUAAUACCAGUGUGCGCCCUGAAAGCAGUCACUGGGUCAGCUAAGGUUCACAAAUUUUAUAACAGCACCACUUUCAUCUAAUUGCUUGCUCAGUUGGAACUUUUCUCAUUCAUACUAGUAAUUAGCCAAUAUUGGAUCCUUUUUAUUUUUCUAUUUCACUAUUCAUUUUAGUAAUUACUUAGCUCAUUGAAAGGCGUCGGCCAGCCUAAGGGCCUAAUUUCUACGUAAUUUUAUAUUUAGUAUUAUUAGAAUUAGUUUUUAGCUAAGGUAGUUAAAUAAAGGCCUAGGCCCUGGUAAUAAUAUUUAAAAAUCCUUAUUUUGUUUUUAAAAACGUAGAACACAAGGUAGCCAAAUGCCCCGUCAUCUAAUUAGUGACGCGCAUGAAUGGAUUAACGAGAUUCCCACUGUCCCUAUGUACUAUCUAGCGAAACCACAGCCAAGGGAACGGGCUUGGCAGAAUCAGCAGGGAAAGAAGACCCUGUUGAGCUUGACUCUAGUCUGACUCUGUGAAAAGACAUGAGAGGUGUAGAAUAAGUGGGAGUAGCAAUACGUCGGUGAAAUACCACUACUCUUAUUGUUUUUUUACUUAUUCGAUGAAGCGGAAGCGAACCGCAAGGUUCACGUUCUGGAUUUAAGGUCUCUCUUUUGCAGACCGAUCCGUGUCGAAGACACUGUCAGGUUGGGAGUUUGGCUGGGGCGGCACAUCUGUCAUACGAUAACGCAGGUGUCCUAAGGUGAGCUCAAUGAGAACAGAAAUCUCAUGUAGAACAAAAGGGUAAAAGCUCACUUGAUUUUGAUUUUCAGUAUGAAUACAAACUGUGAAAGCAUGGCCUAUCGAUCCUUUAGUCUUUAGGAGUUUUAAGCUAGAGGUGUCAGAGAAGUUACCACAGGGAUGACCUCCGACUUUGCAAGGAGCUUUACCCACCCGCAGACCUCCCAAAUUGCAUUUACUACCAUCUGAGCAGAAAGUAGAGACGGGUCGCUUCGCUCCCUAAAUAAGUCGUGAAUACUUUUAUAUUCUGUUUUGGCUAGUUUUGAUAGUUUCAAAUUCGUUAAAAGAUAAACGCGUACCGCUUUCCCAAGAAAUGCUUAACGAAAGCCUGUCACAAAUUGAUCUAUCAGACUUGUAAGGCAUAUUGGCAUUAUAAAAGCCAAGCAGUGCCGUGAAUGCUUUCGUUUAUGAUAC